Molecule: ribosomal RNA, 300 nt
Filed under: uncultured Halogeometricum sp.
Lineage: Archaea; Methanobacteriati; Methanobacteriota; Halobacteria; Halobacteriales; Haloferacaceae
Description: bacterial SSU rRNA
Rfam family: Bacterial small subunit ribosomal RNA
Source: RNAcentral
GCAUGAUCGGGGCAAUCUGGCGUGGUAAUACGGAGUGUUGAGGCGUUAUCCGUAUUUAUUGGGUUUAAAGGUUUCUUAGGAGGGCUCGUAAGUCAGUGGUGAAAUCCUGCAGCUUAACUGUAGAACUGCCGUUGAUACUGCGAGUGUUGAGUAAAUUUGAAGUGGCUGGAAUAAGUAGUGUAGCGGUGAAAUGCAUAGAUAUUACUUAGAACACCAAUUGCGAAGGCAGGUCACUAAGAUUUAACUGACGCUGAUGGACGAAAGCGUGGGGAGCGAACAGGAUUAGAUACCCUAGUAGUC